GAUGAACGCUGGCGGCGUGCCUAAUACAUGCAAGUCGAGCGAACAGACGAGGAUCUUGCUCCUCUGACGUUAUCGGCGGACGGGUGAGUAACACGUGGAUAACCUACCUAUAAGACUGGGAUAACUUCGGGAAACCGGAGCUAAUACCGGAUAAUAUAUUGAACCGCAUGGUUCAAUAGUGAAAGACGGUUUUGCUUUCACUUAUAGAUGGAUCCGCGCCGCAUUAGCUAGUUGGUAAGGUAACGGCUUACCAAGGCAACGAUGCGUAGCCGACCUGAGAGGGUGAGCGGCCACACUGGAACUGAGACACGGUCCAGACUCCUACGGGAGGCAGCAGUAGGGAAUCUUCCGCAAUGGGCGAAAGCCUGACGGAGCAACGCCGCGUGAGUGAUGAAGGUCUUCGGAUCGUAAAACUCUGUUAUUAGGGAAGAACAAAUGUGUAAGUAACUAUGCACGUCUUGACGGUACCUAAUCAGAAAGCCACGGCUAACUACGUG
This 497-nucleotide ribosomal RNA is filed under the name uncultured bacterium. Its description in RNAcentral is "partial 16S ribosomal RNA". It matches the Rfam family "Bacterial small subunit ribosomal RNA", at positions 28 to 507 of the family's 1533-position model. The record is from RNAcentral.